AGUGAACGCUGGCGGUAGGCCUAACACAUGCAAGUCGAACGGCAGCACAGUAAGAGCUUGCUCUUACGGGUGGCGAGUGGCGGACGGGUGAGGAAUACAUCGGAAUCUACUUUUUCGUGGGGGAUAACGUAGGGAAACUUACGCUAAUACCGCAUACGACCUACAGGUGAAAGCAGGGGAUCUUCGGACCUUGCGCGAUUGAAUGAGCCGAUGUCGGAUUAGCUAGUUGGCGGGGUAAAGGCCCACCAAGGCGACGAUCCGUAGCUGGUCUGAGAGGAUGAUCAGCCACACUGGAACUGAGACACGGUUCAGACUCCUACGGGAGGCAGCAGUGGGGAAUAUUGGACAAUGGGCGCAAGCCUGAUCCAGCCAUACCGCGUGGGUGAAGAAGGCCUUCGGGUUGUAAAGCCCUUUUGUUGGGAAAGAAAAGCAGCAGGUUAAUACCCCGCUGUUCUGACGGUACCCAAAGAAUAAGCACCGGCUAACUUCGUG
RNAcentral lists this ribosomal RNA (492 nucleotides) under uncultured bacterium. Its description in RNAcentral is "partial 16S ribosomal RNA". It matches the Rfam family "Bacterial small subunit ribosomal RNA", at positions 29 to 507 of the family's 1533-position model. The record is from RNAcentral.